This is a long non-coding RNA of Felis catus (domestic cat), 2116 nucleotides long. RefSeq lists it as uncharacterized. The record is from RefSeq and is a predicted model, not a curated record. NCBI's taxonomy places the organism in Eukaryota, Metazoa, Chordata, Mammalia, Carnivora, Felidae. The transcript is spliced from 3 exons.
AAGAGGCGGUGCCCAGAGGGUCAUCCUCUGCAGCCAUUGGAGGAAGGCCGGGAGCUAGGCGGGGAGGUAGCGGCUCUCGUUAGGGGCAAUUGAGUUGGUCACCUACCUUUCUGAGACGGGCCUCAGGGAGCUGAGUGGGCAGCGGUUCGUGCGAGCCACAGCUAGGCGGGGAGCCCGGGCAUCUUUGCGUCGUACCUGUGAGCCACGUUACUGCUUAUCUUGCAAAAGUUACAAGUCUGUCUUAAGCCCGCACACCGCUUGGGUGAGCCCGUCCAUUCGUCUUGACUUGACUUGAAUUAUAAGUGACUACAAGUCUUUAUUUCCAGCCCAGAAAUCUCUCCUGAGCUAUUGAGUCGCUAUCCGGGCGCUCCUUUGGUUAUCGAUUUGGGUUUUACUCAUUCAGCAGACAUUUGCUGCACGUCCUCCGUGUACCAGGCAUCUUGGUCAGUGCUACAGGUGCAGUGGUGAACGGGAUGAGAAGGGUUCCUGCUUUUAGGGCACUCACAGUGUAGUGGUGGAAGCUAACUGUAAUCAGAGAAACAGAUCAAUCAUACUAAUAAAUAGAAAACCUCUAACUGAAAGAAGUGACCUGAAGUUAUAGGAACUUCAAAAAGAAAACCAAUUGGGCUGGACACAGCUAAGCAAUAAAGCUGAGUAACGUAGGUGGAUGUGAGGGUGGAGAGAAACCUCUGAAACAUUCCAAUGAGGAGGACAGAAGAUGCCAAGGCCCUGAGUUGGAGACCAUGCUGGGACACCAAGAGAGGAAAGUGGAAUUUGGGGAGCAGAGGGGCUGGGGCAUCACCCCUACAGGGCAGGAGAGACUGGCGCAGUGAGACACGCCCCCGGGGCCAACAUCACACAGCUCAUCAACGCUGGAACUGGGAUUUGAACCUAGGUCUGUUGGCCGGCGCUGCAGAACCGGCCGGGAGCCAGACGGGUGGGUAAGGACAUCAUCCUGGCCCCUCCAGCCCCAGCUGAGUCACAAGCGAUGGCAGCUCUUCCACUCCAGGGGGGGCCAGCAGAAGAACCGCUCAGCUGAACUUGACCCCAAAUUGCUGACCCACCACUGAGAGCAAAAACAUGACUGUUUUAUGCCCUAAAGUAAGUUUUGGGGUGUUUGUGCUGUAGCAAAGCCUCUGAAACCUGAGGGCUGACAGCUUCCCUGCCUCUCCUGCACAGAGAAGUCAGCUGUCACCCAAAAACUCAGGAGCUCUCAGGCUCAGUCACACACUGUUUCAGGUGCUCCUAGGGGCCUACUACCUGGCAGGGGCCACCUCGGUCAGGGCAGGCCUUCCAGCAGGGCAGGGGUUGACAUGAUGAGCGUAUGGGAGGUGGCCUGAGGCUGAGCAGGGGGAGAGUCCGGACAGGGCAACAAGCACUAAGGCAAGCUGGGGGCAGGACUGGGCAGGACCCCCAGACUUCCUGCCCAUCAGGGGACCCGUCAGUGGUCCAACAGCCAGAGGCUGGCACUGCCCUGCUAUGUGACCGUGGACCCACCACUCACCUCUCGCCUGGACAACAGCAAGAGCCCCUCACUUGUCUCCCCACCCCCCUGGAGCUGUCUGCAGCCCUCUCCUGCACUCCACAUGGCAUCCAGAGGACUGUGUGGAACAUGCACCCGACAUAGGUCACUGCUCUGCUCAAACACUUCUGUGGCUCCGUCCAGGCCCCUCCCCAGCCCACAGAGUCUUCUGGCCUCCACUGACCUCUCUGCCCCACCUGACAUCACUGCCUGCCCCCACCCCCCCUCCCUUGGCUCCAGCUUCGGGGGCCUCCUUUCCUUCCUCUCUUGGCCAAGCGCUGUCCUGUCUCAGGACCUGCCUGGAAUGCCUCCCACCCCACAAACCCUGCCCUUUCAUUCAGGUCUCAGCUCAAACAUCACUUCCUCAGGGGGGCCUCCCAGGCACCCCACCCCCAUUCAUUUGCUUUUCUGUCAGUGUGAUCUGUAUUCUAUCCUUUACAUUUGGAAUUCCGUGUCCUCUGCUGCCUCCCCUACCGCUGAACAGGCUUCAAGAAGGCAAAGGUCCCAUCAGAAUUUGUUACCUAUAUCCCCAAAAGCCUAGCACAGAGCCUGGCAGGCACGUAGUAGGUACUCAGUAAACAUUCAUCCCGCUAA